This 212-nucleotide unclassified non-coding RNA is filed under the name Hevea brasiliensis (rubber tree). The record is from RNAcentral. Lineage: Eukaryota; Viridiplantae; Streptophyta; Magnoliopsida; Malpighiales; Euphorbiaceae.
CAUUAGUAUGACAGAUGCUGGUGAUUCUUUCAUUGCCCUCCAGACUGUGCUUUGGUAAUCAUCCAUUAAAAUUUUGAUGUACACAGCUGACAUGGCAAACACAUAGAUGCAAAGAAGAGUUGCUGAAGAAACAAACAUGAANNNNNNNNNNUAACGGUAGUUGCGCAAACCAAUGCAUUGUCCCACCCAAGGGCAAUGAUGAUCAAAUCGUU